This 761-nucleotide ribosomal RNA is filed under the name Prevotella melaninogenica. Its description in RNAcentral is "bacterial SSU rRNA". It matches the Rfam family "Bacterial small subunit ribosomal RNA", at positions 28 to 776 of the family's 1533-position model. The record is from RNAcentral. Lineage: Bacteria; Pseudomonadati; Bacteroidota; Bacteroidia; Bacteroidales; Prevotellaceae.
GAUGAACGCUAGCUACAGGCUUAACACAUGCAAGUCGAGGGGAAACGGCAUUGAGUGCUUGCACUCUUUGGACGUCGACCGGCGCACGGGUGAGUAACGCGUAUCCAACCUUCCCAUUACUGUGGGAUAACCUGCCGAAAGGCAGACUAAUACCGCAUAGUCUUCGAUGACGGCAUCAGAUUUGAAGUAAAGAUUUAUCGGUAAUGGAUGGGGAUGCGUCUGAUUAGCUUGUUGGCGGGGUAACGGCCCACCAAGGCAACGAUCAGUAGGGGUUCUGAGAGGAAGGUCCCCCACAUUGGAACUGAGACACGGUCCAAACUCCUACGGGAGGCAGCAGUGAGGAAUAUUGGUCAAUGGACGGAAGUCUGAACCAGCCAAGUAGCGUGCAGGAUGACGGCCCUAUGGGUUGUAAACUGCUUUUGUAUGGGGAUAAAGUUAGGGACGUGUCCCUAUUUGCAGGUACCAUACGAAUAAGGACCGGCUAAUUCCGUGCCAGCAGCCGCGGUAAUACGGAAGGUCCAGGCGUUAUCCGGAUUUAUUGGGUUUAAAGGGAGCGUAGGCUGGAGAUUAAGUGUGUUGUGAAAUGUAGACGCUCAACGUCUGAAUUGCAGCGCAUACUGGUUUCCUUGAGUACGCACAACGUUGGCGGAAUUCGCCGUGUAGCGGUGAAAUGCUUAGAUAUGACGAAGAACUCCGAUUGCGAAGGCAGCUGACGGGAGCGCAACUGACGCUUAAGCUCGAAGGUGCGGGUAUCAAACAGG